This 252-nucleotide ribosomal RNA is filed under the name Mangrovibacter phragmitis. Its description in RNAcentral is "partial 23S ribosomal RNA". It matches the Rfam family "Bacterial large subunit ribosomal RNA", at positions 2691 to 2925 of the family's 2925-position model. Lineage: Bacteria; Pseudomonadati; Pseudomonadota; Gammaproteobacteria; Enterobacterales; Enterobacteriaceae. The record is from RNAcentral.
ACCGGAGUGGACGCAUCACUGGUGUUCGGGUUGUCAUGCCAAUGGCACUGCCCGGUAGCUACAUGCGGAAGAGAUAAGUGCUGAAAGCAUCUAAGCACGAAACUUGCCCCGAGAUGAGUUCUCCCUGACUCUUUGAGAGUCCUGAAGGAACGUUGAAGACGACGACGUUGAUAGGCCGGGUGUGUAAGCGCAGCGAUGCGUUGAGCUAACCGGUACUAAUGAACCGUGAGGCUUAACCUUACAACGCCAAAG